This 75-nucleotide transfer RNA is filed under the name Bacteroidota bacterium. RNAcentral describes it as "Bacteroidetes bacterium tRNA-Ile". It matches the Rfam family "tRNA". From Rfam's summary of the family: Transfer RNA (tRNA) molecules are approximately 80 nucleotides in length. Their secondary structure includes four short double-helical elements and three loops (D, anti-codon, and T loops). Lineage: Bacteria; Pseudomonadati; Bacteroidota. The record is from RNAcentral. RNAcentral also lists the same sequence under 2 other names.
GGGCCCGUAGCUCAGCCUGGUUAGAGCGCACGGCUGAUAACCGUGAGGUCGGGGGUCCGAAUCCCCCCGGGCCCA